This 446-nucleotide ribosomal RNA is filed under the name uncultured bacterium. Its description in RNAcentral is "partial 16S ribosomal RNA". It matches the Rfam family "Bacterial small subunit ribosomal RNA", at positions 338 to 795 of the family's 1533-position model. The record is from RNAcentral.
CCUACGGGUGGCAGCAGUCGAGAAUCAUUCACAAUGGGCGAAACCCUGAUGGUGCGACGCCGCGUGGGGGAAUGAAGGUCUUCGGAUUGUAAACCCCUGUCAUGUGGGAGCAAAUUAAAAAGAUAGUACCACAAGAGGAAGAGACGGCAAACUCUGUGCCAGCAGCCGCGGUAAUACAGAGGUCUCAAGCGUUGUUCGGAAUCACUGGGCGUAAAGCGUGCGUAGGCUGUUGCGUAAGUCGUGUGUGAAAGGCGCGGGCUCAACCCGCGGACGGCACAUGAUACUGCGAGACUAGAGUAAGGGAGGGGGAACCGGAAUUCUCGGUGUAGCAGUGAAAUGCGUAGAUAUCGAGAGGAACACUCGUGGCGAAGGCGGGUUCCUGGACAUUAACUGACGCUGAGGCACGAAGGCCAGGGGAGCGAAAGGGAUUAGAUACCCGGGUAGUC